GCGGUGCUGCUGCCGCAGCCGCAGCUCGGCCCCGGGGCCGCCCCGCCUGCGCUCCCGCGGGCAGCCGGGAGCCGUAGUUCCGCUCCGGGCGCUCCGACUACAACUCCCGGGAGCCCGCGGGGAGCCCAAGGGGUGCCCACGGGGAGCCCCAGGCCCGGCUCGGCUCGGGGGCGCAGGACACACAAACUCUGCUGGCUUUGCCCUUGCUGAGCUCAGAGACACCUGAGUGAGGGAAAACCUUGGCAGCACUAAUACCCUGCACUCUCCUGUCAGCCCUGUCCUGGUUUUCUGAGGAAAUCAGCAGGAAUUGCUCUUUGCCCACUGGAUGCCGCUGUUCCACAGAAAUAUUCAUGAACUUCCUUCAGCACCUUCUG
Molecule: long non-coding RNA, 374 nt
Organism: Zonotrichia leucophrys gambelii
Lineage: Eukaryota; Metazoa; Chordata; Aves; Passeriformes; Passerellidae
Exons: 3
Source: RefSeq, a predicted model, not a curated record